GUGGGGAAUAUUGCGCAAUGGGGGAAACCCUGACGCAGCAACGCCGCGUGAUUGAAGAAGGCCUUCGGGUUGUAAAGAUCUUUAAUUGGGGACGAAAUAAAUGACGGUACCCAAAGAAUAAGCUCCGGCUAACUACGUGCCAGCAGCCGCGGUAAUACGUAGGGAGCAAGCGUUAUCCGGAUUUACUGGGUGUAAAGGGCGAGUAGGCGGGCCGACGAGUUGGGAGUGAAAUCCGGGGGCUUAACCCCCGAACUGCUUUCAAAACUGUUGGUCUUGAGUGAUGGAGAGGCAGGCGGAAUUCCCAGUGUAGCGGUGAAAUGCGUAGAUAUUGGGAGGAACACCAGUGGCGAAGGCGGCCUGCUGGACAUUAACUGACGCUGAGGCGCGAAAGCGUGGGGAGCAAACAGGAUUAGAUACCCGAGUGUCC
RNAcentral lists this ribosomal RNA (427 nucleotides) under uncultured bacterium. Its description in RNAcentral is "partial 16S ribosomal RNA". It matches the Rfam family "Bacterial small subunit ribosomal RNA", at positions 354 to 796 of the family's 1533-position model. The record is from RNAcentral.